ACCAGACUCCUACGGGAGGCAGCAGUGGGGGAUAUUGCACAAUGGGGGGAACCCUGAUGCAGCGACGCCGCGUGGGUGAAGGAGCACCUCGGUGCGUAAAGCCCUAUCGGCAGGGAAGAAACAGGCGGUACCUGACUAAGAAGCCCCGGCUAACUACGUGCCAGCAGCCGCGGUAAUACGUAGGGGGCAAGCGUUAUCCGGAUUUACUGGGUGUAAAGGGGGCGCAGACGGCGAUGCAAGCCAGGAGUGAAAGCCCGGGGCCCAACCCCGGGACUGCUCUUGGAACUGCGUGGCUGGAGUGCAGGAGGGGCAGGCGGAAUUCCUGGUGUAGCGGUGAAAUGCGUAGAUAUCAGGAGGAACACCGGUGGCGAAGGCGGCCUGCUGGACUGCAACUGACGUUGAGGCCCGAAAGCGUGGGGAGCAAACAGGAUUAGAUACCCCGGUAGAA
This 448-nucleotide ribosomal RNA is filed under the name uncultured bacterium. RNAcentral describes it as "partial 16S ribosomal RNA". It matches the Rfam family "Bacterial small subunit ribosomal RNA", at positions 330 to 795 of the family's 1533-position model. The record is from RNAcentral.